This 106-nucleotide non-coding RNA is filed under the name Yersinia enterocolitica. Its description in RNAcentral is "Yersinia sRNA 224". It matches the Rfam family "Yersinia sRNA 224". The record is from RNAcentral. Lineage: Bacteria; Pseudomonadati; Pseudomonadota; Gammaproteobacteria; Enterobacterales; Yersiniaceae.
AGGUUAAUGACAAAGUGCCUGUAGUGGUGAAAACAGGCAGAUCGUAAAGACGCCGUAAACCCAUCCCUGGGGGCUCGAGCCGCGCCUUCCCUGGCGCGGACGCUUU